AAGAAGGAAAUAUGGAAAAGAGGGAGGGUGCAGGCCCAUGCAUGAGGAGUGUGAAUAAGCAAUCCGUUUGGGGCCUUAGGCCUAAACAACCAAGGUAUCCAUGAGCAGAAACCGAGUCCAACCACCUAAGCUGAAGCAAAAAAAGGAAAAAAUUGCUUAUUUUCCAAAAGCAGCAAUGUGUUCUCGGAUCGAGUUCAACCUUCGGCUUCACGUUGUCCAUGCGAUGCAAUUCCAAAUCCCAAACGCGAUGAAUAAAAGUUCAGUGCGCCACAAACACGAUGCAAAGCUUCAAGCCUCAAAUCAAAUGCCACAGCUUCUUCUUCAUACACGAAAUCGAAGAUGAACCACAACGAACACGAUGAAUUCAACGACGAACACGACGAACUCAACAUUCAAUCAACGUCAACCUCCAAUCGUGAUUCAAACUCUAUGUGCACGGAAUCGAAAUGAAAACGGAAAGAAAACGACGAAGACUCACUGAAUCGGAACAUGUGUUUGAAAUGCAAGUCUUUAGCUACUGUUAUGCUCGAGUUUGGACAUGGAAACUGACUUGAGCUCAUGGAGCUCGUGAAAUUCGCCAUUGGAGCUUGGGCUGUUUUGUUAUGGUUCUGAGUUUUGUAUGAGCAGACAUGGGUUGUGGAAUGGCUAGGAUGGUUUUUAGUGCAUUGGCUUGGUGUAUUGGAUCAUGGUUGCUGUUGUAAUGCAUUGGCUAUUGGUUUGGCUUUGGGAUUGGAUUAGAUGUUGAAUGUUUUUUUAGGGUUCAUUGUUGUAGUGAAUGUAAUUGGAAUUUUGUAUGAAAAUUGAAUUGUAGGUGAAUGUAUAUUGGAAUUGUUGUAGUUGGAAAUGGUUGUAAUGUAUUUAUGGAAUUGUAAUAUGAUGAACUUGUACGAAAGUGUUGAAUUGAAAUGUAAUAAAAAUGGUUGUGUAAUGAGA
Lathyrus oleraceus (garden pea) is the source of this 933-nucleotide long non-coding RNA. RefSeq lists it as uncharacterized. The transcript has 2 exons. The record is from RefSeq and is a predicted model, not a curated record. NCBI's taxonomy places the organism in Eukaryota, Viridiplantae, Streptophyta, Magnoliopsida, Fabales, Fabaceae.